This 117-nucleotide ribosomal RNA is filed under the name Mycetocola reblochoni. The record is from RNAcentral. RNAcentral also lists the same sequence under 1 other name. Lineage: Bacteria; Bacillati; Actinomycetota; Actinomycetes; Micrococcales; Microbacteriaceae.
UUCGGCGGCCAUAGCGAGAGGGAAACGCCCGGUUACAUUCCGAACCCGGAAGCUAAGACUCUUUGCGCCGAUGGUACUGCACGGGGGACCGUGUGGGAGAGUAGGACACCGCCGGAC